Thamnophis elegans (Western terrestrial garter snake) is the source of this 274-nucleotide long non-coding RNA. RefSeq lists it as uncharacterized. The record is from RefSeq and is a predicted model, not a curated record. Lineage: Eukaryota; Metazoa; Chordata; Lepidosauria; Squamata; Natricidae. The transcript has 3 exons.
CAUCACUUCGCAGAGCAUUGCGGAAAUUGGUGAAGAGGAAGCUGAAGGUGGAUUUUCAAAGGUUGAAUUAAGCCCUGGGCAAAAAUCAUUUUAAAGAAAGAAGCACAAACACCAUUAGAGCCAUCGAAGAUCAAUUUUGCUAAAGGUGAGCGGUAACAUCUUCCAAGGCCUCUGAACAUCGAAGUGGGAGAGCAGGAAGACAAAAGAGAGAAUUGCACAGACAAAGCUGUGGCCUGCCGUGUGUUGUUGUCAUUGUCGUCCCGUUCCCCCCCCC